Long non-coding RNA from Lutra lutra (Eurasian river otter), 1109 nucleotides. RefSeq lists it as uncharacterized. The record is from RefSeq and is a predicted model, not a curated record. The transcript has 3 exons. Lineage: Eukaryota; Metazoa; Chordata; Mammalia; Carnivora; Mustelidae.
AGUUUCAGCCUUUAUUAGACUUGUCUCUUGCAGUUCUAUCCUAGUCUCGGGUAUAGACCUUAGUCCUAGUAUGUGGUCCUCAGUCCUAAGGCAUGGUCCUGAAGGAGCACCAGUGGAAAGGUCAUGUGCUUACCAAGCUUCUCUAAUGUGGCUGUGUUUGCUCAGUUUUGUAAUCUCCCUGCAGUUGCUUUCCUCUAGGUAAUUUAGAGUCUUACCCUGUGUAUGAACUAUGAGCACUCAGCCAAGUAGUAGAGGAGAAUUGGCACACUGAUUUUAAAAAGGAAGUCUCUUUUGUGCUUUUAUCAUUUGCUGGAUUUCACUCCUCCAUUUCCAGUCACUCCAGCCCUAUACACAGUGUAAAUUAAAGGGAUGUGCCUUUAGGGGAAGAUCUUACCCAAUGUGCUUCAUUUCUCUCAAGGGUUAGAUCCCCUUAGUUUCUGCCUGCUUUGGUGGCUGUCCAGUGCCUUAAGGUGGGGCUUAUCAAGAGCUGGAGGGUUUGAACCAGAUUUAGGCAGAAUUUUAAAGCGACAGCUGUAGAGUUAAAGAAGAAGUUGACUGAAAUGUGUAUCAAGGGCAAAGGCUUGGAGAUGACACUUUCUCCCAAAUGGUAUUCCAGUACAGAUUCCUUCUCUGAGCACUCCAACCAGACAUAAAGGAGUCUUAAUUCCCAAACCCAAGCAUGUCUGGAAAGAUUCUUCGUAUUGAGGUUACCUCCUCCAUGAGGGUCUCCUACUGGGAACAGGGAACCUUGAAGAAGUGAGCGUGGGGAAUGGUGGGUGCAAACAAGUGGGGCACAUUUGAUGAAGGACAGAUGGAAGGCAGGCAGGCUGGCAGGGACAAGCGCUCCCUCACUCAGAAGAAACCACCCUUAAAAGGAUUUUACACCACCCUGGAAAGAGCCCUCCACCCUUUCCCAGUGACAAAAAUCGGUGACAAAAACCUGAUUGGAUGACAGGUGCAGGGAGGGUUAAUCAGAUUAAAACAACCCACUAACAAGCCCAUAAACACCCCUAAACUUAGAAACUCCAGUGGCAACUGUCUCGGGUCCCCUCCCUCCUUGGGAGUUUUGUCCUGUCCCUUUGCUAUCACUCAAUAAACCUUGCUUUGCU